AGAGUUUGAUCAUGGCUCAGAUUGAACGCUGGCGGCAGGCCUAACACAUGCAAGUCGAGCGGUAGCACAGAGAGCUUGCUCUCGGGUGACGAGCGGCGGACGGGUGAGUAAUGUCUGGGAAACUGCCUGAUGGAGGGGGAUAACUACUGGAAACGGUAGCUAAUACCGCAUAAUGUCGCAAGACCAAAGUGGGGGACCUUCGGGCCUCAUGCCAUCAGAUGUGCCCAGAUGGGAUUAGCUAGUAGGUGGGGUAACGGCUCACCUAGGCGACGAUCCCUAGCUGGUCUGAGAGGAUGACCAGCCACACUGGAACUGAGACACGGUCCAGACUCCUACGGGAGGCAGCAGUGGGGAAUAUUGCACAAUGGGCGCAAGCCUGAUGCAGCCAUGCCGCGUGUGUGAAGAAGGCCUUCGGGUUGUAAAGCACUUUCAGCGGGGAGGAAGGCGGUAAGGUUAAUAACCUUGUCGAUUGACGUUACCCGCAGAAGAAGCACCGGCUAACUCCGUGCCAGCAGCCGCGGUAAUACGGAGGGUGCAAGCGUUAAUCGGAAUUACUGGGCGUAAAGCGCACGCAGGCGGUCUGUCAAGUCGGAUGUGAAAUCCCCGGGCUUAACCUGGGAACUGCAUUCGAAACUGGCAGGCUAGAGUCUUGUAGAGGGGGGUAGAAUUCCAGGUGUAGCGGUGAAAUGCGUAGAGAUCUGGAGGAAUACCGGUGGCGAAGGCGGCCCCCUGGACAAAGACUGACGCUCAGGUGCGAAAGCGUGGGGAGCAAACAGGAUUAGAUACCCUGGUAGUCCACGCCGUAAACGAUGUCGAUUUGGAGGUUGUGCCCUUGAGGCGUGGCUUCCGGAGCUAACGCGUUAAAUCGACCGCCUGGGGAGUACGGCCGCAAGGUUAAAACUCAAAUGAAUUGACGGGGGCCCGCACAAGCGGUGGAGCAUGUGGUUUAAUUCGAUGCAACGCGAAGAACCUUACCUGGUCUUGACAUCCACAGAACUUUCCAGAGAUGGAUUGGUGCCUUCGGGAACUGUGAGACAGGUGCUGCAUGGCUGUCGUCAGCUCGUGUUGUGAAAUGUUGGGUUAAGUCCCGCAACGAGCGCAACCCUUAUCCUUUGUUGCCAGCGGUCCGGCCGGGAACUCAAAGGAGACUGCCAGUGAUAAACUGGAGGAAGGUGGGGAUGACGUCAAGUCAUCAUGGCCCUUACGACCAGGGCUACACACGUGCUACAAUGGCAUAUACAAAGAGAAGCGACCUCGCGAGAGCAAGCGGACCUCAUAAAGUAUGUCGUAGUCCGGAUUGGAGUCUGCAACUCGACUCCAUGAAGUCGGAAUCGCUAGUAAUCGUAGAUCAGAAUGCUACGGUGAAUACGUUCCCGGGCCUUGUACACACCGCCCGUCACACCAUGGGAGUGGGUUGCAAAAGAAGUAGGUAGCUUAACCUUCGGGAGGGCGCUUACCACUUUGUGAUUCAUGACUGGGGUGAAGUCGUAACAAGGUAACCGUAGGGGAACCUGCGGUUG
RNAcentral lists this ribosomal RNA (1520 nucleotides) under Klebsiella pneumoniae. RNAcentral's name for it is "bacterial SSU rRNA". It matches the Rfam family "Bacterial small subunit ribosomal RNA". Lineage: Bacteria; Pseudomonadati; Pseudomonadota; Gammaproteobacteria; Enterobacterales; Enterobacteriaceae. The record is from RNAcentral. RNAcentral also lists the same sequence under 1 other name.